This is a long non-coding RNA of Artibeus jamaicensis (Jamaican fruit-eating bat), 2717 nucleotides long. RefSeq lists it as uncharacterized. The transcript has 2 exons. The record is from RefSeq and is a predicted model, not a curated record. NCBI's taxonomy places the organism in Eukaryota, Metazoa, Chordata, Mammalia, Chiroptera, Phyllostomidae.
GAGGAUGGAGUGGUGGGACUCUCAGCAGCACUUCCCUCUGCGGGGCAGCACAGUCAGAGCUGCCCUCUCGCCAGGCCGAUCGGUGGCUCCCCACUCGCUCUGCCUCUUCCUCCCCCUGAGCGAGGGGCCCAGGGGCAGCCUAAAGGCCGGGAGGCUGCCCCACGCCAGCAGUGCGGUGGGAGUGGCCCCAAGACGAGGCUGCGUGGGAAGAGCGGCCAGGUGGGUGAUCCUGCCAGCCCGGUGCCUGGGUCAUGGUGGAAUGGACAUCCCCAGAGAUGGAUAACUGCUGUCGAUCACAAGGUACACGGGUGACUGGACGAGAAGCAGUGGGGGAGGGGCAGCAGGGACCCGGACAGAGCCUCUGGUUUCCCUUCCCCUGCAGUCCCCGUGUGAGACCAGCAUCUGUGGCCUGGCCCCGCCCCCAACUGGCCUGCCUGCCUGUGGGCCUCACAACCCUGGGGACUGCCCGACCCCACCCUCCUGCCCACUUCUGGGAAAGCUACCCCAUGUGGCUGGACCUUCAAAACAACUUGAAAAACCCCUUUUCCAGUGCACCCCACAGGCCACCACCUGCUGGUCAGGUCAGCCUGUAGCACACUGCCCUGCUGGGCCCCGCGCGCAAGGUUGGGCAAACAGAGAGGAAGAGGAAGCUGCGGCUGAGGGGUGGCAGUCCCAGCCAGAGGCCUGGGAGCUCCACCAUCCCUGGGGCCACUACCCCCUGCAGGCCCUGUCCCAGCCCUGGGCGGGGGCCCUAGGACUGAGACCUGCUCUGAUGGGGGUGGCUCAGGAGAGGCACACCCUGCUGUCAUGGGCCUGGGUCCUCAGGGUCACAGUCACAGGGAUCGGGGCACCCACAGCUGGAGGGUGACUCCUCAGAAGACACCCCAGCCUCCCCCAGGCCCCCCCUCUGAGCCCACCCUGCCCCCUGCCCCCUGCCCCCUGUCCCUUACAGCGUCUAUUUCUGUAUUUGAUCACCUACACGGACAGGGCUGUCACCACCUGUCCCCUUUUCACAGUGAGAGGGUAGGACUUCACAAAAGCGGGGACCCCACGGAGCCCCCACAGCCCCGGGCUCAGUGCCCACUGUGCUUCCCACGGAAAGGGAGCCGGAACCAGGACCUCUCCCCCCUCGCCAAACUCCGCCCCCGGGUGAAAACAGCGACAGAACUGAAGUGGCGAGAGCAGCAAGAGCACGUGCAAGUCCACCAAGCGGAGCACCAGGGUCCCCACAGUUCACCCCAGUUCCGCCUCUGUGACAACCAGGCUCCAGCAGAGGCCAGGGGUCCCCACACCUGGGCGGAAAGCUGCAGGGAGCCACCCACCUCUCCCAGGUCCCCAGGUGUCUGCCAGGUGACAUCACAGGAGGCUCAGCCUGAGGACGGAGGCGGGGAUUCAUCUACGUCACUUAAGCUGUGAUUACUGACCUGCCACCACGGACACACGUCCACCUCGACUCCUCACGACUCAGAGAGAUGAGACAACCUACCCGAAACUCGUGAUUAGUACAUGCAUCCUGUUAACCCCUGAACUGUGUACCGUGACUCUGCUGGGUGGAGUCCAGUGACGUGUACCACCUGUGUACCGUGACUCCCCUGGAUCCGUGACUCCCCUGGGGUGGCUGCACAGGGAGGGUGGGAGGCCCUGAGAGGCGGUAGAGGGUGUCCCAUGGUCAGCAUGUGGAGGGAGAGGGGAUUGGGCAACUGGGGACAUGAGAACCCAAACUGACGGGCUUCCCCUGCUUCUCCUCUGCAUUCUCCUCCUUCCUUGCCCAGGGGACAGCCCAGGGCGAGGCCAGAGGAACACAAAACACACCCUGUCAGCUCUUGCUGCUUUGCUAACCAAGGGUAGGGUGAACCCGCAGGCAGCCGGUUCAAAAACCUCUUAUAUUUGGCUUCGGGAGUCCCAUUCGCCCUUGACCUUGACUAUGUGAGUUACCGGCAUUCUGGGGAUGACUCCAACUCCCAAGGCCUCAGCAAGGUCGGAAGCGCCCCCCAACCCCUCCCAUGCAACCACCUUGACCUCACUGCUCAUCUGUCCCAGCACCUCGGUGGUCUUUGCACAGACACUUCCAGAAGCUGGUGGAAUGUGUGCCUUUCCAAGGGCUACUUCAGGCAAGCCCAGGGUUAACAGGGCUUUGUAGGGUGUGAGCGUUAACUCUGGGUGGACUGAGCCUCUGUGCCCCUUCCAGGCAGCUGUUGAGUAUUAGCCACGCUGCCAGCGAGUGAAGGGCCCAGAGAGGGCGCUCGGCUUCCUGAGCCUGGUCCUCUCCACUUCCCUCGGGUUUCCGGCUCCUCUCUGCCCAGGUGGGUGGUGCGGCGUGCUGAGAGGUCCCGCGGUCCCUGGUCCAGCCCACUUCCAUUCUCGGAGUCUCCUGGUACAUUACGCAAUGGAGAGGUUCCAAAAGAGGACUCGACGAGCCCAGGUUUUUGACAGGCAACACACGGGGGGAGGGGGGGGCAGGAAAAUAAUAAAACCGGGCUCUCACAAUCACAAGAUCUGUGACAAGACAAACUGUGGUGUGGGCCGGCCGUGGGAUCCAGGGACACAGUUGUAGGAGGGUUACCUUCUCUCCUUCCCACGCACUCUGGGACUGCAGGGAGACAUUCACCCGUGAGAACCUUAACUCCACGUUUGAGGGAGUGCUCUGAAACCGGGCUUGGGUCAUGGUUGUGCGGUGCUGUGAAUUUACUAAAAGUUAUUAAAUUGUAUGUUUGAGA